This 867-nucleotide ribosomal RNA is filed under the name uncultured archaeon. RNAcentral describes it as "bacterial SSU rRNA". It matches the Rfam family "Archaeal small subunit ribosomal RNA", at positions 1 to 879 of the family's 1478-position model. The record is from RNAcentral.
UUCCGGUUGAUCCCGCCGGACCAAACUGCUAUUGGAAUCUGACUAAGCCAUGCAAGUUUUUCGCAAGAAAGCGAAAGGCUGAGUAACACGUAGGUAACCUGCCUUAAAGAGGGAAAUAACCUCGGGAAACUGAGGCUAAUGUCCCAUAGGCUUAAGAUACUGUAAUGUUCUUAAACUCAAAGCUUCGGCACUUUAAGAUGGGCCCGCGGCCUAUCAGGUUGUUGGCGGUGUAAUGGACCACCAAGCCUAAGACGGGUAGGGGCAGUGAGAGCUGGAGCCCCCAGAUGGGUACUGAGACACGGACCCAAGCCCUACGGGGUGCAGCAGGCGCGAAACCUCCGCAAUGCACGCAAGUGUGACGGGGGAUUCCAAGUGUUUCCCGUUUUUCGGAAAACUUUUCUAGAGUUUAAAUCGCUCUAGGAAUAAGGACUGGGUAAGACGAGUGCCAGCCGCCGCGGUAAUACUCGCAGUCCGAGUGGUUUGGAGUUUUAUUGGGUCUAAAGCGCUCGUAGCCGGAUAAGUAAGUUCUCUGUGAAAUCUGGCAGCUUAACUGUCAGGCGUGCAGAGGAUACUGCGUAUCUUGAGAUCGGGAUGGGCCAAGGGUACUCUUGGGGUAAGGGUGAAAUCUAAUAAUCCUAAGGGGACCACCAGUGGCAAAGGCGCUUGGCUAAAACGAUUCUGACGGUGAGGAACGAAAGCUAGGGGAGCGAACGGGAUUAGAUACCCCGGUAGUCCUAGCCGUAAAUGCUGCAGACUAGGUGCUGCAUUCUCCUCGUGAGAGUGCAGUGCCGUAGGGAAGCCGUUAAGUCUGCCACCUGGGAAGUACGGUCGCAAGGCUGAAACUUAAAGGAAUUGGCGGGGGAGCAC